This 388-nucleotide ribosomal RNA is filed under the name uncultured bacterium. RNAcentral describes it as "partial 16S ribosomal RNA". It matches the Rfam family "Bacterial small subunit ribosomal RNA", at positions 338 to 723 of the family's 1533-position model. The record is from RNAcentral.
CCUACGGGGGGCAGCAGUGAGGAAUAUUGGUCAAUGGCCGGAAGGCUGAACCAGCCAUGCCGCGUGAAGGUCAGUGCCCUAUGGGCGUUAAACUUCUUUUGUGCGGGAGCAAUAAUGGUCACGUGUGGCCAGACGAGAGUACCGUACGAAUAAACAUCGGCUAACUCCGUGCCAGCAGCCGCGGUAAUACGGGGGAUGCAAGCGUUAUCCGGAUUUAUUGGGUUUAACGGGGGCGUCGGUUGUGAGGUAAGGCAGCGGUGAAAAGCCCCCGCUUAACGGGGUGAAGUGCCAUUGAUACUGGCUGGCUGGAAUGCGAAUGCCGUGGGAGGAAUGUGUGGUGUAGCGGUGAAAUGCAUAGAUAUCACACAGAACACCGAUUGCGAAGGCA